This 345-nucleotide unclassified non-coding RNA is filed under the name soil metagenome. RNAcentral describes it as "partial contains 5.8S ribosomal RNA, internal transcribed spacer 2, and large subunit ribosomal RNA". The stretch from base 1 to 120 matches the Rfam family "5.8S ribosomal RNA", at positions 35 to 154 of the family's 154-position model. The record is from RNAcentral.
GAUGAAGAACGCAGCGAAAUGCGAUACGUAAUGUGAAUUGCAGAAUUCAGUGAAUCAUCGAGUCUUUGAACGCACAUUGCGCCCCCUGGUAUUCCGGGGGGCAUGCCUGUCCGAGCGUCAUUGCUGCCCUCAAGCACGGCUUGUGUGUUGGGCCUCCGUCCUCCUCCCGGGGGACGGGCCCGAAAGGCAGCGGCGGCACCGCGUCCGGUCCUCGAGCGUAUGGGGCUUCGUCACCCGCUCUUGUAGGCCCGGCCGGCGCUUGCCGACACAUCAAUCUUUUUUCCAGGUUGACCUCGGAUCAGGUAGGGAUAUCCGCUGAACUUAAGCAUAUCAAUAAGCGGAGGA